Dreissena polymorpha is the source of this 579-nucleotide long non-coding RNA. RefSeq lists it as uncharacterized. The transcript is spliced from 2 exons. The record is from RefSeq and is a predicted model, not a curated record. Lineage: Eukaryota; Metazoa; Mollusca; Bivalvia; Myida; Dreissenidae.
GCGGGCGGAAGGCAUCACUUUGUCCGGACUCUAAUUCAAAUUGUAUUCAUCCGAUCUUCACCAAACUUGGUCAGCAGUUGCAUCUAGUUGAUAUCUAGGCCAAGUUCGAAUAUGGGUCAUGCCGGGUCAAAAACUAGGUCAUAGGGUCAAUAAGUGCAUUUUCAAAGGGGCCACUUUGUCCGGACUCUAUUUCAAAUUGUAUUCAUCCGAUCUUCACCAAACUUGGUCAGCAGUUGCAUCUAGUUGAUAUAUAGGCCAAGUUCGAAUAUGGGUCAUGCCGGGUCAAAAACUAGGUCAUAGGGUCAAUUAGUGCAUUUUCAACGGCGCCACUUUGUCCGGACUCUAAUUCAAAUUGUAUUCAUCCGAUCUUCACCAAACUUGGUCAGAAGUUGUAUCUAGACAAUAUCUAGGUCAAGUUCGAAUAUGGGUCAUGCCGGGUCAAAAACUAGGUCACAGGGUCACUUAAACCAUUUCAAGCAUUUAGCAUGGUGUCCGCUCUCUAAUUGAAGUAGUUAUCAUCCGAUCUUCACCAAAUUUGGUCAGAAGUUGUGUCUAGACAAUAUCUACAUGUAGGUCAAG